GCCGGGCGCGCUGGCGCGUGCCUGUAGUCCCAGCUACUUGGGAGGCGGAGGUGGGAGGAUCGCUUGAGCCCGGGAGUUCUGGGCUGUAGUGUGCUAUGCCGAUAGGGUGUCUGCACUAAGUUCGGCAUCAAUAUGGUGACCUCUCGGGAGCCGGGGGUCGCCAGGUUGCCUAAGGGGGGCGGAAACGGAGCAGGUCAAAACUCCCGUGCUGAUCAGUAGUGGGAUCGCGCCUGUGAAUAGCCACUGCACUCCAGCCUGGGCAACAUAGUGAGACCCUGUCUCUU
RNAcentral lists this signal recognition particle RNA (284 nucleotides) under Callithrix jacchus (white-tufted-ear marmoset). RNAcentral describes it as "Metazoan signal recognition particle RNA (ENSCJAG00000084527.1)". It matches the Rfam family "Metazoan signal recognition particle RNA". From Rfam's summary of the family: The signal recognition particle (SRP) is a universally conserved ribonucleoprotein. It is involved in the co-translational targeting of proteins to membranes. Lineage: Eukaryota; Metazoa; Chordata; Mammalia; Primates; Cebidae. The record is from Rfam by way of RNAcentral.